This 504-nucleotide ribosomal RNA is filed under the name uncultured bacterium. RNAcentral describes it as "bacterial SSU rRNA". It matches the Rfam family "Bacterial small subunit ribosomal RNA", at positions 53 to 537 of the family's 1533-position model. The record is from RNAcentral.
ACAUGCAAGUCGAGCGGUAGCGGGCCUGACCACUCUCGAGUGGUUCAGGCGCCGACGAGCGGCGGACGGGUGCGUAACACGUAGGAAUCUGCCCGGUAGUGGGGGAUAGCCCGGAGAAAUUCGGAUUAAUACCGCAUACGCCCUAAGGGGGAAAGCAGGGGAUCUUCGGACCUUGCGCUAUCGGAUGAGCCUGCGUCGGAUUAGCUAGUUGGUGGGGUAAAGGCCUACCAAGGCGACGAUCCGUAGCUGGUCUGAGAGGAUGAUCAGCCACACUGGGACUGAGACACGGCCCAGACUCCUACGGGAGGCAGCAGUGGGGAAUAUUGCACAAUGGGCGAAAGCCUGAUGCAGCCAUGCCGCGUGUGUGAAGAAGGCCCUAGGGUUGUAAAGCACUUUCAGUGGGGAGGAAAGGUCGAAGGUUAAUACCCUUUGGCUGUGACGUUACCCACAGAAGAAGCACCGGCUAACUCCGUGCCAGCAGCCGCGGUAAUACGGAGGGUGCGA